RNAcentral lists this transfer RNA (68 nucleotides) under Amitermes beaumonti. RNAcentral describes it as "tRNA-Met". RNAcentral also lists the same sequence under 3 other names. Lineage: Eukaryota; Metazoa; Arthropoda; Insecta; Blattodea; Termitidae. The record is from RNAcentral.
AGAAAAGUAAGCUAAAUCAAGCUAAUGGGUUCAUACCCCAUAUAUAGAGUAUAACACUCUCUUCUCUA